This 323-nucleotide ribosomal RNA is filed under the name Actinomyces sp. oral taxon 448. RNAcentral's name for it is "bacterial SSU rRNA". It matches the Rfam family "Bacterial small subunit ribosomal RNA", at positions 378 to 697 of the family's 1533-position model. Lineage: Bacteria; Bacillati; Actinomycetota; Actinomycetes; Actinomycetales; Actinomycetaceae. The record is from RNAcentral.
CAAGCCUGAUGCAGCGACGCCGCGUGAGGGAUGGAGGCCUUCGGGUUGUGAACCUCUGUCGCCGGUGAUGUAGGCUCUGCUUUGUGGGUGGGGUUGACGGUAGCCGGGGUAUGAAGUGCCGGCUAACUACGUGCCAGCAGCCGCGGUAAUACGUAGGGCGCGAGCGUUGUCCGGAAUUAUUGGGCGUAAAGAGCUCGUAGGCGGCUGGUCGCGUCUGUCGUGAAAUCCUCUGGCUUAACUGGGGGCGUGCGGUGGGUACGGGCCGGCUUGAGUGCGGUAUGGGAGGCUGGAAUUCCUGGUGUAUCGGUGGAAUGCGCAUAUAU